AGUAAGUGAGCAUGGCACAGACAGUUGUUUUUUUAAGAUACAUCUGAGCUAAUCCAGUGACAUCUGCAUACAUCUUACGCCUUUGGCAACAUCGUGGGUUGUAAAUAUGGGCUUACUAUAGCAUGGACUCUUCACUACGGGAAGCUGAUCAUUUUACUUGAUUAACAAACUAGUGAGAAUGAACAUCUGGUAGCAAUUAACCUUCAAACCUGCCUUCAUGCCCGUGGACCAGCAUGCAUCAGUAGAGCUGGGCUGAGCUCCAGUUCUCUAAAGCCCAUUUCUUUCAACAACAACUGUUACUUUCUACUCUUGAUUGUUAUCUGUCUGUAUCAUUUGCAAUAGCAAACUUACAUUAAGACAUUGUAUUGAAUCUGCAAAUGCAGACUGUGUCACUGUAUUCACAAAUUAGCCAUACUGCAGCUCAGAUCAAGUUAUAGAUAAACUGUCUCUUGUUUGACCUUGUUGCCAUGGAGGAUGAUUUUGCCAGGCUGGUACAAAUCAUCUGGGUCUCAACAUUUACUCUUGCCAAUUCAGAAAUGCUGUGUGUGCAUGGCACUCUGGGAGAAAUAAACAACAUCAUGGAGCCUGCAAUCUUUA
Micropterus salmoides (largemouth bass) is the source of this 597-nucleotide long non-coding RNA. RefSeq lists it as uncharacterized. NCBI's taxonomy places the organism in Eukaryota, Metazoa, Chordata, Actinopteri, Centrarchiformes, Centrarchidae. The record is from RefSeq and is a predicted model, not a curated record. The transcript has 2 exons.